GAUGAACGCUAGCUACAGGCUUAACACAUGCAAGUCGAGGGGCAGCGGGAUUGAAGCUUGCUUCAAUUGCCGGCGACCGGCGCACGGGUGAGUAACGCGUAUCCAACCUUCCGUACACUCAGGGAUAGCCUUUCGAAAGAAAGAUUAAUACCUGAUGGUAUCUUAAGCACACAUGUAAUUAAGAUUAAAGAUUUAUCGGUGUACGAUGGGGAUGCGUUCCAUUAGGUAGUAGGCGGGUAACGGCCCACCUAGCCAACGAUGGAUAGGGGUUCUGAGAGGAAGGUCCCCCANACUGGUACUGAGACACGGACCAGACUCCUACGGGAGGCAGCAGUGAGGAAUAUUGGUCAAUGGGCGAGAGCCUGAACCAGCCAAGUCGCGUGGAGGAAGACUGCCCUACGGGUUGUAAACUCCUUUUAUAAGGGGAUAAAGUUGGCCAUGUAUGGCCAUUUGCAGGUACCUUAUGAAUAAGCAUCGGCUAAUUCCGUG
RNAcentral lists this ribosomal RNA (489 nucleotides) under uncultured bacterium. RNAcentral's name for it is "bacterial SSU rRNA". It matches the Rfam family "Bacterial small subunit ribosomal RNA", at positions 28 to 507 of the family's 1533-position model. The record is from RNAcentral.